AUACUUGCCUGGGAGAGAGAUAACCGUGAUCACCAGGGCGUUUUUUUCCAGGACGAGGCUUCUCUGUGGCACUCUGCCUGUGCCGCCCCCUAGAUUCUCCCCAAAUGUGGGAAACUCAGAGGCAUGACUGUGGUAGUGAGACACUGCGUUUGCAUUUUUCCC
RNAcentral lists this small nuclear RNA (162 nucleotides) under Ursus maritimus (polar bear). RNAcentral's name for it is "U1 spliceosomal RNA (ENSUMAG00000013171.1)". It matches the Rfam family "U1 spliceosomal RNA". Rfam says of the family: U1 is a small nuclear RNA (snRNA) component of the spliceosome (involved in pre-mRNA splicing). Lineage: Eukaryota; Metazoa; Chordata; Mammalia; Carnivora; Ursidae. The record is from RNAcentral.